Molecule: ribosomal RNA, 281 nt
Filed under: Pseudomonas sp.
Lineage: Bacteria; Pseudomonadati; Pseudomonadota; Gammaproteobacteria; Pseudomonadales; Pseudomonadaceae
Description: partial 16S ribosomal RNA
Rfam family: Bacterial small subunit ribosomal RNA
Source: RNAcentral
UGCAGUCGAGCGGUAGAGAGAGCUUGCUUCUCUUGAGAGCGGCGGAAGGGUGAGUAAUGCCUAGGAAUCUGCCUGGUAGUGGGGGAUAACGUUCGGAAACGGACGCUAAUACCGCAUACGUCCUACGGGAGAAGCAGGGGACCUUCGGGCCUUGCGCUAUCAGAUGAGCCUAGGUCGGAUUAGCUAGUUGGUGAGGUAAUGGCUCACCAAGGCGACGAUCCGUAACUGGUCUGAGAGGAUGAUCAGUCACACUGGAACUGAGACACGGUCCAGACUCCUAC